This 653-nucleotide ribosomal RNA is filed under the name Enterococcus faecium. RNAcentral describes it as "bacterial SSU rRNA". It matches the Rfam family "Bacterial small subunit ribosomal RNA", at positions 173 to 814 of the family's 1533-position model. The record is from RNAcentral. Lineage: Bacteria; Bacillati; Bacillota; Bacilli; Lactobacillales; Enterococcaceae.
AACAAUCGAAACCGCAUGGUUUUGAUUUGAAAGGCGCUUUCGGGUGUCGCUGAUGGAUGGACCCGCGGUGCAUUAGCUAGUUGGUGAGGUAACGGCUCACCAAGGCCACGAUGCAUAGCCGACCUGAGAGGGUGAUCGGCCACAUUGGGACUGAGACACGGCCCAAACUCCUACGGGAGGCAGCAGUAGGGAAUCUUCGGCAAUGGACGAAAGUCUGACCGAGCAACGCCGCGUGAGUGAAGAAGGUUUUCGGAUCGUAAAACUCUGUUGUUAGAGAAGAACAAGGAUGAGAGUAACUGUUCAUCCCUUGACGGUAUCUAACCAGAAAGCCACGGCUAACUACGUGCCAGCAGCCGCGGUAAUACGUAGGUGGCAAGCGUUGUCCGGAUUUAUUGGGCGUAAAGCGAGCGCAGGCGGUUUCUUAAGUCUGAUGUGAAAGCCCCCGGCUCAACCGGGGAGGGUCAUUGGAAACUGGGAGACUUGAGUGCAGAAGAGGAGAGUGGAAUUCCAUGUGUAGCGGUGAAAUGCGUAGAUAUAUGGAGGAACACCAGUGGCGAAGGCGGCUCUCUGGUCUGUAACUGACGCUGAGGCUCGAAAGCGUGGGGAGCAAACAGGAUUAGAUACCCUGGUAGUCCACGCCGUAAACGAUGAGU